This 3366-nucleotide long non-coding RNA is filed under the name Homo sapiens (human). Its description in RNAcentral is "long non-coding RNA NONHSAT194005.1". Lineage: Eukaryota; Metazoa; Chordata; Mammalia; Primates; Hominidae. The record is from RNAcentral.
GAGAGAGAAAUCCAGAGGCAGCAGGUAUUUCUUUGGAGGCCAAGUCACAUGGGAACCUCUUUGUCCACCUUCCCUCUCAGGGCCCAAAUAUCCCUCUCCAAAGAUUCAGAAGCAAAAUGGGAGGAAGUUGACAAUGAUGACAAUCUAUGCCUGACUUCAGCCCCAAGGAAGGUUUGACCUAGAGAGGUGUGAAGAUGUCAAACCUACACUGUCCAAUAUGGUAGCCAGUAGCACAUGUGACUCUUUACAUUGACUUUUAAAUGGACUACAAUUAAAUAAAAUUUAAAAAUCCAUUUCACGGGCAUACCAGCCACAUUUCAAGUAUGUCGUAGCUGCAUGUAACUAAUGGCUACUAUACCGGAAAGCACACACAGAAAAUGUUUCAUCAUCACAUAAAAUUCUGUUGAACAAAUCUGUGUUGAAUAACAACACACUUAGGACUGUGUUCAAUCCUAAGUUGAACACAAUCCUUAGGAUCUUGCUGAAUGGACAGAGCUGCAGUGGGAAAGGAGAAGAGUGAGGCUCUAGGAAAAUCCUGCCCUCUAAAAAAUGAAGGGCUCGUUCUAUGGUUGGCCUCCAUGCCAUGACCAAAGAUCAUGGACAGGUUAAAUCGAUUAGGAAAGCACUUCUCACAUAUCUAACCUGCCCUGCCAUGGGUUCAAUUUACGUAGUACACUGGACAAUGUAGCUUGAAUCCUAAAUUCAAAUGUGUUAAAUAUUCUUAGUAUUCCGUCUGUAUACUAACAAAGAAAAAAAUGUUAAGUGACUGUGCCACGCUCUCCUUCCAGAGCAGUGUUUCUUAAUUUCAGCACUACUGACAUUUUGGGCCAGAUAAGUCUUUGCUGUGGGGGCUUGUCCCACGCACUGCAGGAUGUUUGGCAGCACCCCUGGCCUCCACCCUCUAGAUGCUGGGAGCACUCUCCACCUCCACCCCCAUUGUAACAACUAAAAAUGUUGCCAGACGUUACCCAGUGUACGCUGGAGGGAAAAAUCACUCCAGGGUGAGGGCCACUGAUCUAGAAUAUGAUACAUGGCAUCUGUGAUAUGAGAAAAUGACCUUGGGCCUGGUCGUAAAAGAAUGUGCCACCUCCUCACCUGAAACACAACCAAGCAGUGGCCCGUGACUGACUUGGCAAAAUAACACUUUGUUCAGAGGAAGCUCAUAAAACAGUUUUGGCCGGGAGGAUGAGCUAACCUCAUAAUAGGUACUUGAGAGAAGCCACCCCGCUAAUGCAUGCUGUGUACCAUGAUUAGGAUUGACUUAACUAGGGUGAAGAAAUCAUAUAAUUUGCUGUGUCUACAGAUAUGUAAGUAAUCCAAAUGUGUGUUUCUUUUUUAAGUAUCAAAGGAUAAUUCUAGAAUAAAAUUCAUAGUCACAGUCAUAUUAAAAAACGUCCACAUUUUCAAAAGUCUAACUACAUUUUUCACUCUCCUCUAAAAAUGGAGACACAACACUGUGUUCUAACCUGAAGAUUUGCAUACUCAAUUCUAACUCAAAACUUUAUCUGCUGACAUCCGUGCUUCAUAAAUAAUUCCCAUGUGAUAAUUAUGUAUCUUGAGCAGAAUUACCAAUGCAUUUGUCUUGAAUGCUUAAUAUAUUUAAUGGGAAAUGUCUCGGGAAUUUUCAGUUCUGUCACUGCCAAGAGGAGGAAGUAUUAACCAUUCAGAAUAAGAUACUCACAUUAGAUUUUGUGCAUUAAGAAAGUCACAACUGAGGCUGUAGGACUUAAAUAGAUGUUUCUCCAGAGAAACAAUAGUCACUACUACACUCCCUUUCCUCCCUUAAAAGGCUGUCCAUUCCUAAAGGGUAGGGACUAUAUGUUCUUCCAGUACCUCUACUAGUGUUCUGUGCAUAUUAGGCAUUUAAUACAAUUUUUGUGCAUGAACAGACAGACUCAGAACAAAGCCUCUGAGUAUAUUGCCAUCCAGCUUGGAUGAGGAUAUAAGUCUCUUAAUCCCCAACUUAUCUUGUUUUCUAACACAAGCAAUAUAUGGGGAAUUAUGCUUAAGAGGCUGUGCCACUUUGUAUUUAAAAACCCAACUCUGUUUUUUAGACUCCUUGUUCCUUAAGUUGGUUAUGUGUUAGGUGACCUUGCUAGUUCCCUAAUUUUUCCAAGUUUCCAUUUUCUCACCAAUAAAUCGAGACUAAUUAAUAAUGACACAUUAAUUUGAGGUCUAAAUGAGAAAAUCUACACAAGGCUUUUAGCACACUGCCUGACACAUAGAAAGUGUUUUCUAAAUGCUAGCUAUUAUUUUUAUGGCAUAAUUCUGUCAUAGAUCCAAAAAGACUUUUUUAUUUUUAAAAAAUCAUAGUCGCAUUUUUUUAAUUAUUACUUUUCUUCUCUUUGAAGUCAAUCCUCUCAACACAGCUUGAGAAUUGCAAUGAAUUUGGGGAUCUGAGAAACAAUCUUUUCUAAAUAUUUGUAUGUUAUUUGGAAACAAUUACAGUGGCAAAAGAGAACAAGAGGCUACCUUUUAGUAUCAAUCUAUCUGUACACUUAAAAAAAAAAAAAAAAAGAAAAAAGCAGCCCAUGACAAGUACAUGCUGAUUUUUAAGAAGAGGUGAGGUAAAAGUGGUACAGCUUUAUUAAGUACAAGAACUUAACAAUCCCUUUUAUUAAACAGAACUUGAAUUUGUAUUACACUGAAUUUAUAGAUCAAUUUGAGGAGGAUUGAUAUGGGUAUGAUAUGGAGUCUUGUUAUUUAAUAAUGUGGUUUCUCACUUAGGAUUGUCUUAUAUCUUUCAAUAAUUUUAGAAUUCUUUUUUAAAAGUUCUUGCAUAUCAUUUCUCAGGUUUGCUUUAAACGGCUGUACAGAUUUUUGAAUGGGGUAUUAUUAAUUGUUCGAAUUGGUUAAAGCAAGAAUGCUAUUGUUUUUGUAUAUUGAUCCUCUAUCCAAAAAAUGUACUGAAUUCUCUAACUACUGCUAGUUUGCAGAUUUUCCUGGAUUUGCAAAGUUAAAAAUCAUAUGCAAAUAAAUAAUUUUGUAUCUUCCAUUUUACUUUUGUUAUAUUUUAUUUCUCUUGCCUUAUUUAGUUAACUAGAAUGUCCAGUUAAUAUUAAAUGUGGAUAAUGUCCAAGGGCAUUGUUUGCUUAUAUUUUCCUUAAAAGGAAUGCUUCUAAUGUUUAACCAUUAAUAUAAUGUUAGCUAUACAUUUUUUUAUUGACUAAGAAAGUUUAUUUUUUCUUAAUUCAAGACGGAUUAAAGACUUAAAUGUUAGACCUAAAACCAUAAAAACCCUAGAAGAAAACCUAGGCAAUACCAUUCAGGACAUAGGCAUGGGCAAGGACUUCAUGUCUAAAACACCAAAAGCAAUGGCAACAAAAGCCAAAACAGACAAAUGGGAUCUAAAUAACUAAAGAGCUU